Molecule: long non-coding RNA, 334 nt
Filed under: Capsicum annuum
Lineage: Eukaryota; Viridiplantae; Streptophyta; Magnoliopsida; Solanales; Solanaceae
Description: long non-coding RNA (CANN_LNC022500)
Source: RNAcentral
UUUUUUUUUUUUUUACAACAAGUGUGUUUUAAUCUGUUGUAGCGGUAACUUGUAAAUUCUUUAUAUAAGCAUCUCAUUUUCCUUUUCCUUUCUUCCCAUAUUAUAGUAUACUAUUCAACAACAACAACAAUAUACCCAGUGUAUUCCCAUAUAGUCGGGUCUGGGGAAAAUAAAGUGUACGCAGAUCAUACCACUACCUCAGGUGAAGUAGAGAGGUUGUAUUGUAGUAUACUAUUCACUAUGGAAAAUUCCCAACAACCUCUUGCCACAGAGAGUUUUUCAUAUAGCUGGUUGUUGAACAGAAAACCAUCCAUUGAUGGCCUAAUAGAAUCCC